Non-coding RNA from Rattus norvegicus (Norway rat), 2067 nucleotides. NCBI's taxonomy places the organism in Eukaryota, Metazoa, Chordata, Mammalia, Rodentia, Muridae. The record is from RefSeq and is a predicted model, not a curated record.
AUUGCAGAUGAAAACCCAGGCGACCACUCACCAAAGUGAAGUCCCAGUGCGGGCCAGGGGUUAGAAAUGUGAAGGAGCUGCCUCUCCGAAGGGAGCAUCUAUGGACAGAAGAGUCAGAUAAAGAGAAUUACUUCAAAAUAGUAAGAGAAUUGACAGAUAAAAGCCAUAAUUCUUACAGUCUUAGUCUCAAAACUAGUUAAAAUAGUGACCCGAUGUCAGCACCUAGAGAGAGCAAGGUCUUUCCUGGUAAUACCAAAAUAUAACAGGGUACAUGCCAUCCCCGAAUCUUUAUACUGAAGAGAGACUAUAUAUAUAAAAUUAGUGAAGAGAUCACUAUUAAAAAACAGUUCAUCUUAUGAGUAUAUACAUAACUCAACAAUAUAAAAUCUAUUAAUAUAUAUAGUAGCCUUGAUAAUUAUUAAUAAUAAAAAACUAAUGAACUUGGUAUAACUCAAAACUUACAGCUAAUAUUUAAAAUAAGUAAAAAAAGACAUUAAUUCAAUAAAACCCAGAUUCUGUUAUUUACAUUAAUGUAAAUCAGUUAAAAAUCAGUUCGUCUGAUUUUUAAAAACUGGAGUUAACCCAACCUCUGUGUUAACCUUUCUAAAAUAUAGGCCUGUAUAUUUACAAAAAUAUAAAUGUCUGCAUUUACAAAAUAUGUAAAAAAAAAAUCGAAACGGCAUAGGUUAUAACCAUGCGCUCUACGGUUAACCCUUUAGGCGUACAGAAUGUGGAACGGUUUUUUCCCAACGUGGAUAAACGACAGCCAAAGGAAAGCAGAAACCGAGGGAGCGCGCUGAGGCUGGGAGGUAGUUACCAGCACUGGCCUGUUGGCAGGUUCAGCCGGUAAAUGGAGGAGGGGCUGUAUAAUGGGACGGAAGUGAAGAGGCGCCAGUAUAACCGGGUGGAGCUGUCGGAAGCUAAUGGGUCCAUGACAGUCUGGAUAUGAGAGCCUGCAUGGAGAGAACAGCUCUGGUGCAGAAGUAUGGCUCCCCAGGGAGUGGGUUAAAGAAGACUGUCAACAAGUCCAUCGAGUCCGCCCCUUCAAGGCAGGACCGAGCAGUGGCUGUUUGGGGCCUCGGCUCAAGGCUAGCCCUCGGUGCAUCCCGCCGGGCUAGCGCACUCUCCUCCCGCGGCAUUUCUGUCCAGGCAUCCCCAGCCUCCCCUGCCCCAUUGCCAGUCCUUGCUCACCUCCCGGUUCUCCCGUCCAUCCCGGUCCUGAGUCUCCAGACUCCGUCCCCCGCUCUCCCCCACCCACCUCUGGCCACCCUCACCUCUCGUUCGCCGCCGGCCCGGGUGUGUCGGCCGGAAGCCCCGCGGCUUGGUCCUCGCUGAGCACUGAGGCCCUGCGGCUUCUCCUCCGCGGCCGGGGUUGCUUAGGAGCCGCCGGCUCUGGCUCCAUGUCCGGAGAGGGGGGUGGGUGGGGCGGUGGCCCAGUGCCCAGCAGACCGAUCGUGGCGGGCACGGUGCCCGCCAGCUUCUGCGAAGCAGCAAGUUGCCUUCUAGCAGAGAGCGGCUGCGGCCAUCAUCCGGGGAUUUGAAAAUGGCGGCUGCCCAGAGAUCGACCAAUCAGAGAACGGGAAGCGGUUGCUAGGCUACGUGGAGUUCCGCCCCAGUCGGAAGACCUCACACCACACUUUAAGGUGUCUGAAGGACAAACGCAAAGUAGUAGGGUAAAAGUUAGGUGUUUGGGGAUUUAUUCUAACUACACCCCUUAUUCUUCCAAAGGCGGUCUCUCUUCACUAUAACUUUCACGGCAGGCCAGGAAAAUGGAUUGGAAGCUGUUUACCAUUUGAUGUUGUUUAGCAUUAGAUGGGCUGAAGGUAUUGACCCCAAAGUAAGGCGCAGUUGGGCAUAUAAACACCAAAUUAUUCGUGUGGGAUAUAUGCCCAAUUGCCAAAGACAAUACCUGUGUUCUUCCGGUGUCUCUACAUAACCAGUGAAAUCUAGUUAUGUCCUCCCGUCUUUCUCUGCUUGCAAGACUGCAAAAGGUGCAGCAUGAAACAAGGGACCUUUUCAGGUUUGUAUACGAAGAUUGGCAAAUAAAAACGUUCUUUGAUUUUUAAA